RNAcentral lists this unclassified non-coding RNA (328 nucleotides) under soil metagenome. RNAcentral describes it as "partial contains 5.8S ribosomal RNA, internal transcribed spacer 2, and large subunit ribosomal RNA". The stretch from base 1 to 119 matches the Rfam family "5.8S ribosomal RNA", at positions 36 to 154 of the family's 154-position model. The record is from RNAcentral.
AUGAAGAACGUAGCGAAAUGCGAUAAGUAAUGUGAAUUGCAGAAUUCAGUGAAUCAUCGAAUCUUUGAACGCACAUUGCGCCCCUUGGUAUUCCGAGGGGCAUGCCUGUUCGAGCGUCAUUAUAACCCCUCAAGCUCAGCUUGGUGUUGGGGCCUGCUGCACUGGCAGCCCUUAAAAUCAGUGGCGGCGCCAUCUGGCUCUAAGCGUAGUAAUUCUUCUCGCUAUGGAGUCCUGGUGGUUGCUUGCCAUCAACCCCCAAUUUUUCUAUGGUUGACCUCGGAUCAGGUAGGGAUACCCGCUGAACUUAAGCAUAUCAAUAAGCGGAGGA